UAACAUGGAAUUGUCAAGCUUUUGCAGGU
This 29-nucleotide non-coding RNA is filed under the name Rattus norvegicus (Norway rat). Lineage: Eukaryota; Metazoa; Chordata; Mammalia; Rodentia; Muridae. The record is from RNAcentral.